RNAcentral lists this long non-coding RNA (4315 nucleotides) under Vitis vinifera (wine grape). RNAcentral's name for it is "long non-coding RNA (VVIN_LNC005298)". The record is from RNAcentral. Lineage: Eukaryota; Viridiplantae; Streptophyta; Magnoliopsida; Vitales; Vitaceae.
GAGCAGCAGAAGGGAAUCAUUUCAUGCCUCCAAACCUUCUUCAGUCUCAGUUGGACUCACUUCAGCUUGAUCCUUCAGAAGGCAUACUCAAGGUUGAUGCUACUCAAAGUCCUGACGAUACUGUCAAUGGCAUACAAGCUCUGAUCUUCUGAUCGUCAAUUCCUCAGACAAAAAUUAGGUAUUCAAGACCUUAUCUAGUUGAGAUGAAAAGGAGUUUUAUUUUAUUUUAUUUUUUAUUUUUAUUUAAUCUAAUUCAAGUUGAAGAUGGCUCCAUCAAACAUGACUGAUUGGUUUCAAAGUCUCACCAGAUUCAUUUCCAUGUUUUUUUCGUCACUAGGUGUAAUUGAACCCGAGCAUUUGCCUUAUGAAUAUACAGACAGGAAGUGAAAAGGAAUCCAUAGGAAUGACACAGACUCAAAUGACAACAAUGGCAGGAAUCUAAAAUUGGUGAAAAAUAGAUUUUAUUUUGUAACUGAACAUCACUUCUUGAAAGUGCAAUGCCAUAGAUCUUGAUAAUUUUUGUUGGAUAUGAAUAAAAAUGUUUCUACUCGUGCUUGCCUUGGUUGUAAGGUGCUAAAAAAAUUAUGGUUCGGGAUUUAAAUAAGUCAAGAUCAAGAUAACAACAGCUUAUCAAAAGAAUGAACAUACCUAAAGGAUUUAUGCAGGUUUAGUAAAAGCUGCAUAUGCACAUCCUAUGCAGGUUAUGGUAGCAAAGAGGAGAAAUGGAAAAAAAAAGAGGCAAAAUAUGGUUUAAUUUUUUAGUUUCUUAUCAUUGUGGUUUUUGAGGAUACUAAUCGAUUGUCUAGUAUAAAGCCUAUUAUCACCCCUUGUGCAUGAGUGCUUAAGAAAAGCCAAAGUCAGUGACACUAUGUUUUAUUAUGCAAGCUACAUUGAGGGUGUCUUUUGGUAUGAGCCUAUCCUCACAUCCCAUGCAUAGAGGCCUAAGUUUAGGAGACUAUUGUCACAAGAUGAUUCAAAUGAGCCUCCCCAUGGGCUUAUAUAGAGCCAGGAAGCUUCUGGAGACUCCUAGAGUGGGAAGAGAGUGUGGAAGGUUCUAGAGAUGCCUGGAGGAAUCCACACAACUCUACACUAUGGUGGAAGACAUGAGAGGAGUCCACAGCCUUCUAAAGAAUUCCAGAGGUCUCUUGUAUAUUUUUGUACAUAGGCUUGUACCUAAAAUGAUGUUGGACAUUCUAGAAUAUACUUGAAUUGGAAGGAACCCUCCAAGGUUCCAGAGAGUUCCAUUGGUGCCUAUAAAUAGGUGAGGGCCUCAUUUGGCCAAGGCACCAAGCAAGUGAGUCUUCAAAACACUUGUAAAGGCUUCCUUGAGUAAUAAGAGCUUCCAUUCUCUAAGAGUUGCCUACUAAGCUUCUUAAGCUUUCGAGUUGUGAGCAUCUUAGCCUAGCAAGCUAAGCAUUGGGAGCAAGGCUGACUUAGCAAGAUCAAGUGUCUUGACUUGCCUAAGUGUCGCACGAGCUUAGUGAACGACUAAGUCCGUGACACUAUGCUUUGAUUGUCAUGGCUUGUUCUUGGGUGCUUAGGAGAAACAAAUUACGCAACACUAUGCUCCGGUAUGCAAGCUACAUUGAGAGGGUCUUUAUCAAGUUUAAAACUUGUCUAGUAUGGGUCUAUUGUCAUGCCCUAUCCAUGGGUGCUUAGGAGAAGUCUUAAGUUUGGGACACUGAUUGUCAUGCCUUGUGCUUGGGUGCUUAGUGAGAAACCUAAGUAUGCGACACCAUACUUUGAUAUGCAAGCUACAUUGAGGGUGUCUUUCUCAAGUUUAAAACUCGGCUAGUACAAGUCUAUUGUCAUGCUUUAUGGGUGCUCGGGAGAGGCCUAAGUUUCAUUUUGUCCAGCAUGAAGUUACUGUCAUGCCUUGUGGAUGGGUGUUUAGGAGAGGCCUAAGCUUGAGACGCCAUAAUCUCAGUUAUGCUGGUUUUAGGAAAGUAUUAAGAAAAAAAAAAUUAAGAAAAUGAUUUUCUCGUAUUCGGUUUUAUUAAGGAAAAUAUUUAAAAAAAAAAACAAAUAUAAUUCAAAAUGAUUAGAAAUUUAUGUAUUUUCAAAUUAUUUAAUCAUUAUAUAAAAAUUAAAAUAAAUAAAAUGAGUUGACAUAAAAAAAAUUUAUUGAUAUUAAAUAUAUUUUUUAUUUUCCUUCGUUAUAUCUUUCCUUCUACUUUCUUCUUUGUUUUCUUUCUUUUGUAUUUUUCAGCAAAUUUUCUAGGAAUCAAACAUUACCUUAAGAAAUAGAGAAACAAUUGUAAAAAUAUUUUUCUCCUCAUUUUUUUUUUCUACUUUCAUAAAAGUGAGGAAUUUUUUUUUAAAUAGAAAAACAAACAAGAAACAACUUUUAUAAUUUUUUCAUAUUUCUUUAUUUCCUUAUAUUUUUCUUCUAUUUUCUUUUCUUGAACCUUUUGGGAACUAAAUAUAUAUUAAAAAAUGAAGUAUAAUAUAAAUAAAAUAUAUAAAAAACAUAAUACAUAAAAAAGAUAAUUAUAAAUAUUUUUCAAUAUUAGCACAAUUUCUUUGGAAAAUUACUAAUUUACUAUUAUGUACAUAUUUUUUAAAAUCUUUACUAAUUUAUUAUGUACAUAUAUGAAUAAGAAAAUAACUUAAUUUUAUUUAAUAAUUUAAUUGUAUUUAAUAAUUUAAUUGUAUUUAAUAAUUUAAUUGUACUUGACCUUAACUAAAAUUGCACUAGGGUAAAAUCAAAGAAUCAUUCACAUUAUCAUUUUUCCACUACAAGAAUAAAAUAUUUGUUAGAGUUGUUCAUUAUACAUUUUUUUUAUUGCAAAUUAAAUCAUAAUUAUGAAAUUUCAAAAAAUUAAUUAGUUUUAUUUCAAAAUUUAAUUAAUUUUAUUUAUUACCUAAUAUUAUAUAUAAAAAAACUCUAAUUCUAUGUUUGAUUCCUGGAAGUAGUAAGAAAAGAAGAAAAAAAUCAUAAAGAAAAUAGUUUUCUCGUGUUUGGUUUCAUUAAAAAAAUAUGAAAGAAAAUCAAAUAUAAUUAAAAUUAAUUAAAAUUUUAUGAAUUUGAAAAUUAUUUUAUUUUUAUAUAAUAGAGAAAAAUAAGUGAAAUGGGUUUGAAAAAACAUUUUAAAAUAAUUCAUUAACUUUGAAUCUACUUUUUAUUUUCCUUCUACUUUUUCUUUUCAUAGUCUAUUAAUUUUUACUAAUUUAUUAUGCACUUCCUAAACUAUUAUUUUUAUUUAAACAUUAUUACUGAACUAUUUCUUUAAUUAAAACAAAAUUUCUAAGCUAUCAAACGCUCAAUUUCACAUACACCCAAUAAAUAUAUAUAAAAAAAAUAUUUAUAGAUACCAAUAAAAAUGAAACUAAAUAAAAGUAGGAAAAUAAAAUAAGUACCCAAACAAAAGCUUACAAUAAGCUCAAUGCCUCACUUACACCUUCAGUGAGCCUCCUUUUCUUUCAUAAAAUUUGGUUCUCCACGUGUCAUAAAUUUACGCUCACCCAAUGCAAUACCAAUAACAGAAUAGGGUCAUGCAAAACAAAAGGGAGUCCAAAGUAAAUAUGCAUAGCCUAAAAUAAUUCAAGCCCAAAUGUAAUAAACCCAAAAACAUCCUUCAAAUUGAUCUAACAAAUUUCACUACUAAAAAAAAUGGACCCAAAAUUAGCGACAAAAAUAUCUCACAUCCCAUAAACCUUAAUCCAAGAUUCCGAAUUAAUCAGCAAAAUACAAGUACAAUUAACCAAGCCCAAAAUAUGACAAAACAAGAUAAAUUCAAUUAGACCUAAAUUUAAUAUCUCAUAAUUCAAGUCUAAUUUAAUAUACAAAUCGAAUCCUAAACCAAAAUCAAGCUCAAUUUAAUAAAUGUAUAACUAAACAAGUUAAGCAAGCCCAAAUUUCCCAAACCACUACCUAGAAAUCAAAUAAUAAUAAUAAUAAUAACAACAAAAGAAAAUAAAAUAAAAUAAAAUGAAAAUAAAAAUUUUACCUCACGCUUGAAGCCUAAAGUGGAGAAGAAGGUUGUGCAGCAAGAUGCACUGGGUUUGGGUGUCGCGGGUAAAUAGAGUGUGGGAAGAGGGUCUGAUGGUGAGGUCGUGUGAGUGUGUGUGUGGGGAGAAGAAAUAAAGGAAAGUAAGAGAGAAAAUGGGGAAGAAAGAGAGAAGGGAGAAGGAAGGGCUGUGUCUCUGUGAGUGGCCAUGUGUGGUGAGGGGGAGAGUGAAGAAAAAAUGGAAUGAAAAAAUGAGAGAAAAAAGGAGAAAAGAAAAUGGAAAGGGAAAGAAGAGGAGAGAGAGUGGGGGGAGUGUGGGCAGAGAUAAAAAGGAGGAAAGAAAAAAAAAAAAAUAAAGAAAAAAU